RNAcentral lists this long non-coding RNA (307 nucleotides) under Prunus persica (peach). RNAcentral's name for it is "long non-coding RNA (PPER_LNC001846)". The record is from RNAcentral. Lineage: Eukaryota; Viridiplantae; Streptophyta; Magnoliopsida; Rosales; Rosaceae.
ACAAUUAUAUAAGUUAAAUACCCAAGAAAUAUCUAAGGAUACCCAUUUAGAAAAAAACAAAUAAUAAAUAUAUAAUUUAUAGUUAUUUCAAAUGAACACACACACACACACACAUAUAUAUAUAAACGUUUAAUCCUCUCUUUUAAAAAAAAAAAAAAAAACUUUUAAGAAUACGGAUUGUCACAGAACGUGAGCCCCCUUAAGUGCAUAUCGAAGACAUCUACUAUUCGUGAAUGGAAUUGAUGGGCUAAUCCAAGUAUAUUUGAGGACUGAAUUAGAGCAACUUAUUAGGUGUUCUUAUCGGAAU